RNAcentral lists this ribosomal RNA (253 nucleotides) under uncultured bacterium. RNAcentral's name for it is "partial 16S ribosomal RNA". It matches the Rfam family "Bacterial small subunit ribosomal RNA", at positions 1247 to 1500 of the family's 1533-position model. The record is from RNAcentral.
AAGCGAAGCGGUGACGUGGAGCAAACCUCAGAAAGCCAAUCUCAGUUCGGAUUGUAGGCUGCAACUCGCCUACAUGAAGUUGGAAUCGCUAGUAAUCGCGAAUCAGAAUGUCGCGGUGAAUACGUUCCCGGGUCUUGUACACACCGCCCGUCACACCAUGAGAGUUGGGAAUACCCGAAGCCUGUGAGCUAACUUUACGAGGCAGCAGUCGAAGGUAGAAUCAAUGAUUGGGGUGAAGUCGUAACAAGGUAUC